RNAcentral lists this ribosomal RNA (253 nucleotides) under uncultured bacterium. RNAcentral describes it as "partial 16S ribosomal RNA". It matches the Rfam family "Bacterial small subunit ribosomal RNA", at positions 524 to 776 of the family's 1533-position model. The record is from RNAcentral.
UACAGAGGUGGCAAGCGUUGUUCGGAAUUACUGGGCGUAAAGGGCGCGUAGGCGGCCCGUCAAGUCCCGUGUGAAAGCCCCCGGCUCAACCGGGGAACGGCGCGGGAAACUAGCAGGCUUGAGUUCGGGAGAGGGAAGCGGAAUUCCUGGUGUAGCGGUGAAAUGCGCAGAUAUCAGGAGGAACACCGGUGGCGAAGGCGGAUCUCUGGGCCAUUACUGACGCUGAGGAGCGAAAGCGUGGGGAGCGAACAGG